CAGUCAUAUCACGUUCAAACACCGGUUCUUGUACGAUUACUGAAGUUAAGCAACACUGAGCCUGGUCAGUACCUAGACGGGUGAUCGCUUGGGAAUAUCAGGUGCUGGA
Acanthosepion pharaonis is the source of this 109-nucleotide non-coding RNA. NCBI's taxonomy places the organism in Eukaryota, Metazoa, Mollusca, Cephalopoda, Sepiida, Sepiidae. The record is from the annotation of a GenBank genome assembly.